UGUUAAUAUAUUUGCUCAAUGUAAUAAUUUAAACAGUAUCAGAAUUUUUGUGGCCUUGUUUUGAGACGUUUAGAACUGACUUGGAGUCACAGGUGAAGGUGACCCAGGCUUUUCUUCUUCCCUAGGAGGCUGUGUUGGGAUUGAGUAUGGCUUGUGGUUGUCCGGGUAGACAAUGGGGAACUGGAACUCAGCUGUGUUCUGGAACCUUGAGCACAGGGCUUUGGCAUGGAUCUCUCUACCUCUAUCACCUGUCCCUGCCCUUCAGCUGCCUGGGGUGAAGAAAGUGCCUUUGGAUGCAGAGAUGGGGGUCUCUCUGUGUUGCCUAAGGCCUUGAACUCCUGGCCUCAAGCCAUCCUCCUGUCUUGGCCUCUCAAAGAGCUGGGAUUACAGGCAUGAGCCACUGCGUCCAGCCAGAAUUACCAUUAAAUUAGACUCAAGAAGCAACAAAAAUGUUUGAACCAUUAUUUUAUCCUAUUCCAUGUAGUUUCCUGUAUGUUUCAAAUAUUUCACAAUACAAUAUAUUUUAAACAGUCAAUAAAGCUCAACAAACACAGACUCUUUCCAUGCCUUUAGGAAAAAUAUUAGUCACUCUUUUCCACAGUUGUACUUAUAGAAAUUGAGGCAAUCUUGUGAAAGGGUAAUUUGGCAAUAUUAUCUGAAUUAAAAACAUGUAAAUUCUAUUACCAAGCAAUCCCAGUGUUUUUGGGGUGGGGUGGGGACCAUUUUAUUAUAUCUCACAAUUCUAUCAACCAUGAAACCAGACAGGCCUGGCCUGGUGAUGCUUCUGCUCCAUAUCAGCAAAAAUCACUUGCUGGUGUUUACAUGGCAGAUUGGCAGGUCUGGAGGGUCCACAAUGGCUUCACUGAAGUUGGCAAGGGUGGGCUCCACUGGCACCAUCCACCAGAAUGCCCACAUGUGGCCUCUACAGCAUGCUUAUCUGAUUAGUUGAAUUUGUUACAGGGCAGACUACAUCCAUGGCCUUGCUGCUCAAAAUAUGGUCCACAGAACAGCAAACAGGCAUCACCUGGAAGCUGCAUAAUCUCUGCCCAGUAGUACCUUUUUAAUCACCUGUUUCUAGGAAAUACUAGUAAGCAUGUGUACCAAUAUAUGUACAAAGAUAUUGCCUGAGGUGUUUUUUAUAUCAGGAGAAUAAUGAAACCAAAAUCUCCAUAAACAGAAUGGUUAGAGAAAUCAUGGAAUACCCACACCAUGAAUACCAUGAAGCCAUUAUAAGAAAGAAAUAUGUGUAUAUUGGCCAGGAAAGAUGGCCAUGAAAUGCUGUUUAGUAAAAUAAAAGCAAAUGACAGGAUAGUAUAUAGGACAGGACCCAUUUUUGGUAAGAAAAAUAUUUCAGUAAAUAGCUCUAUCAUCUAGCCAUCCAUUCAUCCCAAAAUCUGGAGGGACAGACACUCAAUGAGCAGUCUCUUCUGGAAUAAUGGAGGGAUUUCUGCUUUUUAGGUACUAUAAUUCAAUGCACAAAAAAGCAAGAACAUAAAAUAAUUUUUCAUUUUGUUUUUCAGUCCAUUAAAAAAAAGCAACAACUCUUAAAAACGAAACCAAAUCGUUGUACUCUGGAAAUAUCUGUGCUGAACAAUUAUGCUCAAAGAUCAUGAAGAUAUGGUUUCCUGGUCUCAAAAAGCCCAUCGGCAUUAACCCACUUGCCCUUAAGAUUCCUCACUCAGCUCACCAAGGUCAUUACCCCAAUUUUCAACCUUUCAUUGUAGAGUCCUGCUUUCUACCUAACAUUGCUAAUAAGUGCUGCUCUUUGCAAUGGAAGAUGAUGCCAGCGACUCACUUUCUAGAGGGCCACAUGCUCUGAGAUACUGCUUCUAGUGGGAAGAAUUUGUAUUGUCAACCUUUCGAGGUUUUUAUUCUUUUCCAUGUAAAAUGAAUUGGUCAUUAGGGAACUCAAACCUUGAAGCUGGCAUUGACACUACACUGUUCUAGGGGACUAAGAGAAACAUUGAUCACAAUGCACACCGAAUCCUAAAUGAAAUAAUUAUUUCUGAAUGAUUGCAUUAGGAAGAGAUUCAUGGGACUUUAAUCCUGGGAGGGACAUUAAAAGUCACUUAGCAUAACCUCAUUCUUUUACACUGGCAGUAAGGACUCUGAGAGAAUUUUUUUAAAUAGGUGAGGCUACUACAGCUCAAAGAGCAAAGUGAUAUGCCCAAGGUCUAAUUUGUGUUAGUGGAUUGUAACCCUGGCUGUACUAUGCUAGAGUACGUGCAAGAGUUGUUGAAAAGUACUGAUGGUUGGAUCUUACUGUGGACAAAUGAAUCUGAUUUUCUGGGUCUGGGGUUUGGGUUACUGGCACUUUUUAAAGCUCUCCAGCUGGCUCUAUCUGAGGCCAGGGUGAAGUACUGAGCUAGACAAGAACCCAGCCCCCAAUCCAGAGACUGCCAGGGUUAUCAAACCCAUGGCAGUCUCUCAUUCCCCACCCCUGAGCCCAUGGCAGACUUGAUUCAGGGAUCACUAAACUCUUUCCUGCUGUGCCUAAUCUGGCCUUCUCGUAUUGUUCAUGGAAGCUGCCACCUGUCCGUGAGCACUGGGAAGACAACCUGAGACAUGGCUACAGCCAGGCACUGUAUCUUGGUUCCUCUAAAUAAAAUCACACAAAUAUCAGAAAGUAUUAUUCUGGUAACACCAGGAUUGUAUAUUCUCACAGUCCAGUGUAUUUAUCUAUUGGUCCAUCAAGGCUCAAUGGCGGAAUACCAGGAUGAAAGCCCUGUGUUACUCAGCUGAGCUAGGUCUGAAUACUACUCUGCCAUUUACAACCUAUGUAAUUUUAGGCAAGAUUUUGUGCCUCAGUUUCCUCCGUGUCUCUUCUCUGGUAUUAAUUGCCCACAAAACUGAAACCUGGACCCUCAGUCUUUCCCAGCCUUUUUUUUUAUCUAUCAGAACCCCAAUCCCCUUAAUCUCUGAUACUAACUUGUUCAUACGAACAAAGACUUGGUAAGAGUUAGUGCUCAGGCCUCAUUCCCAAGUACUCAGAGUGCCUGGAGACAGCCUUUUGAAGACACUGACAAUACUUGAACACAAUUUUUUCGUGGGUAUUAUGUACUUCUCUAGCCAGAGAUGAACUUUGCAGUCUCCUAACAAUUAGGAUUCUAUCUAAAUUCUGCUCAAAAGUAACAGCAAAGGAUGUAGGCUGCUGAACUGGAUGCAAACAACCUGACAAUCCCUUUUCCCCACCUCCCUCCUCACCCUGCAGCCUGGGUUACCACUCAGGGCCAGUCUGAGCCUACAUCACACAUGGAAAUGGCCUUAUUCUAGCAGAGACUAGCUACAGUUAGAUCAAGGCUUCUCAGUCCCCACAGGGCUCUGAUCCCUGUUGUUUUUUGGUUGCAAUAUGAGUUCCUUCAGGCUCUCACCCUAAUACUGUUCGUUCUUCCCCAACUCUUGCACCCACUGUCUCCCCUGCUUCCUUGCACUGCUGCCUCCUGGCCAACUUCAUUCACCAUGUCUUCUGGAAUGCCCACUUUAUGGUAAGCAAGCUCCUCAUGCCUUCACCCUGCUGUAACUGAACAUGGCUCUCUUGGGACUGUCUUCCUGAGGUCCUUUCAUUCUCAAAGAGAGAGAUGUCAUUCUUCUCCACCUGAGUUCAAUAGGUGAGGGUGUACCAUCCUUCUGGGAGAGGAGAGAAUAACUGUGAACAAUAGUACCACAUACAGAGUACAUGUCACUUGGAAAAAGUGUUUGUCAUCUUUCUCUCUCAAAGACUUCUUCCAAUUGGUUCAAUUAGUAUCUCAUGGGACAGACUGAAGUCUUAACUUAAUCCUACCUAUGUCUUUAGUGCAGCCUCAGAUUUUCCCAUUCCAUUUCCCCACAUUCACUAUGAAAAUCAAGCCAAAUCAACUUACCUGUAGUUCCUCAAACACACUAAGGCAUCAUCAAGACAUCUACUUUCUCAGGCCAUGUUGUUCUUAUUAUCAUCUUCUAUAAGGAGGAGCAAACUCCCUUCCUCUCACCCUGAUCUAAAUGCCUGUCCUCUAAGAACCCAUUUACUUCUGAGCGCACUCAUUGCACAUCUCAGUAGUAAGCUGUUCACUUGUUUCCUUCACUGACUGAAAGCUCUAAGAGAACACAGGUGAUGUCUUUUGGAACCCAUGUCUCUCUGACCUCAGAAUCUGGGACCUUCCUGACCACACACACACACAUCUCCCACUCUGUGGACAGCACAACACUAGGUGCACCAGGGUACUUUUAGAGGAACACUACUCAUACCAUCUGCAAGUUAGAAGAAAACUUAAUAGGCCGGGGGUGGUGGCUCACGCCUGUAAUACCAGGACUUUGGGAGGCCAAGGUGGAUCAUCUGAGGUCAGGAGUUAGAGACCAGCCUGGCUAACAUGGUGAAACCCCAUUUCUACUAAAAAUACAAAAAAUAUGCCAGGCAUGGUGGUGUGCACCUGUAAUCCCAGCUACUCAGGAGGUUGAAGCAGGAGAGAUUGCUUGAACCUGGGAGGUGGAGGUUGCAGUGAGCCAAGAUCAUGCCAUUGUACUCUGGCUUGGGCGACAAAAGCGAAACUCCAUCUCAAAAAAACAAACAAGCAAAAAAAGAAAACUUAAUAAUCCAACCCUCAUUUCACAGAUGAGCCCAAAGACACUCUGGCUUACUUACAGUGAUUCCAGAGAGUUAGUGACAUAACUCUCCCACCUUCCCCUGUACCACUCAUAGACUUUAAAGAACUUGAAUCUAAUGUCCAAGAUGAAUACAAUAAGCACACAAAUAAUUACAAUUCAAGGAAUUAUAUGAGAAACAGAAAGUCUGAAAGGAGACGGGAGAGGGAGAAAUUACAUCUUUGGGCUGGGGUAGGGUAGGCUAGGAAGAGUAAUCAGGAUUGUGUACCACAGUUCUCAACCUUUUUUGUCUCACGACUUUUUCACACUUAAACAUUUUUUAAAAGAUAUUUGAGGGCACACAGUAGGUGUAUAUAUUUAUGGGGGUACAGGAGAUGUUUUGAUAUGGGUAUGCAAUGUGAAAUAAGCACAUCAUAGAGAAUGGGGUAUCCAUCCCCUUGAGCAUUUAUUCUUUGAGUUACAAAAAACUCAAUUAUACUCUGCAAGUUAUUUUAAAAAUGUACAAUUAUUAUUGACUGUAGUCACUCUUUGGUGCUAUCAAAUAGUAGGUCUUAUUCAUUCUAUUUUUUUUGUACCCAUUAACCAUGUCACCUAUCCUGCCAGGUCCCCACUACCCUUCCCACCUUCUGGUAACCAUCCUUCUACUCUGUAUGUCCAUGAGUUGUUUUGACUUUUAGAUCCUACAAAUAAAUGAGAUCGUGUGAUGUUUGUGUCUGACUUAUUUCACUUAACAUAAUCUCCAGUUUCAUCCAUGUUGUUGCUAAUGACUGGGUCUCAUUCGUUUCUAUGGCUGAAUAGUACUCCCGUAUGUGUAUGUACCACAUUUUCUUUAUCCAUUCAUCUGUUGAUGAACACUUAGGUUGCUUCUAUUGUAAACAGUGCUGCAACAAACAUAGGAGUGCAGAUAUCUCUUCAAUAUAUUGAUUUCCUUUUUUGUGUGUAUAUACCCAGCAGUGGGAUUGCUGGAUCAUAUGGUAGCUCAAUUUUUAGUUUUUUUAAGGAACUUCCAGGCUGUUCUCCAUAGUGGUUGUACUAAUUUACAUUCCUACCAACAGUGUACAAGGGUUUCCUUUUCUCCACAUCCUCACCAGCAUUUGCUAUUGACCAUCUUUUGGCUAUGUCAUUUUAAUUGAUAUGAGACACUACUUCACUGUGGUUUUGAUUUGCAUUUCUCUGACAACCAAUGAUGUUGAGUACUUUUUAAUAUGCCUACUUGUCGUUUGUAUGUCUUAAGAAAUGUCUAUUCAAAUCUUUUCCCCAUUUUUGAUCAGAUUAUUAGUUUUUUUUCCUAUAGAGCUGUUUGGGCUCCUUAUAAUCCCGGUUAUUAAUCCUUUGUAAGAUGGAAAGUUGCUAAUAUUUUCUCCCAUCCUGUGGGUUGUCUCUUCACUUUGCUGGCUGCCUCCUUUGCUGCGCAGAAGCUUUUUAACUUGAUGUGAUCCCAUUUGUCCAUGUUUGCUUUGGCUGCCUGUGCUUAUGGGGUAUUGCUCAAGAAAUGCUUGCCCAGACCAAUGUCCUGGAGAGUUUCCCAGUGUUUCUUUUAGUAGUUUCAUAGUUUGAGAUCUUAUAUUUAAAUAUUUAAUCCAUUUUGAUUUGAUUUUUGUAUAUGGCAAGAGAUAGGGGUCUGGUUUCAUUCUUCUCCAGAGGGAUAUCAAGU
Molecule: non-coding RNA, 6232 nt
Organism: Callithrix jacchus (white-tufted-ear marmoset)
Lineage: Eukaryota; Metazoa; Chordata; Mammalia; Primates; Cebidae
Source: RefSeq, a predicted model, not a curated record